RNAcentral lists this transfer RNA (72 nucleotides) under Schmidtea mediterranea. Its description in RNAcentral is "tRNA-Asp". Lineage: Eukaryota; Metazoa; Platyhelminthes; Tricladida; Dugesiidae. The record is from RNAcentral.
AUACACUUAGUUUAUAGUGAAUGUAAGCUUGUCGUGCUUUUGGUGAUUAAAUAUUUUGAUAAUCAGUGUAUG